GCAGCGCCGGCAGCCGCUUCUUAGAGGGACCAGCGACACUUUCGCAAGCCGCACGAGAAAGAGCAAUAACAGGUCUGUGAUGCCCUUAGAUGUACGGGGCUGCACGCGUGCUACACUGACGGCGUCAGCGUGCGUUCAAGCCCGGCCUGGCAAGGUCGGGAAAUCGGUUGAAACGUUCUCGUGACUGGGACAG
Molecule: ribosomal RNA, 193 nt
Filed under: Trichuris vulpis
Lineage: Eukaryota; Metazoa; Nematoda; Enoplea; Trichinellida; Trichuridae
Description: partial small subunit ribosomal RNA
Rfam family: Eukaryotic small subunit ribosomal RNA
Source: RNAcentral